This 378-nucleotide unclassified non-coding RNA is filed under the name Hevea brasiliensis (rubber tree). The record is from RNAcentral. Lineage: Eukaryota; Viridiplantae; Streptophyta; Magnoliopsida; Malpighiales; Euphorbiaceae.
AGGUGGAGGCGGAGGCGGAGGCAGCGGCGGUGGAAUGGGUAGUUAUAAUGUCCCAAUUGGUGGUGGAGGUAGCGGAGGGGGUGGAGGCGGUGGAGGCUGGGUUGGAAUUACUCCACCCUUCGGGGGUUGUUAUUGUCCUCCAGAAUGUAUCCCUGGGAGUUGGAAAGCAAGAGCACUGCAUCAUAAAAAUUCAUUAAAGAUGGACCCACGAGUUAGAGCUCCAUGAUUAAGCCUAGUGAAAAACAUAAUUGAGCAUCAUAGUUUGUUGUUUCUGAUGGAGCUUGAAAAGCAGUUUAAGAAUAAGCUCAAUUUACUUUAAAUGAUUCUCAUUUAAAAUAAUUUGUCUUUUACAGAGAGAAGGAAAUAAAAGAAGAAAUA